GAUGAACGCUGACAGAAUGCUUAACACAUGCAAGUCAACUUGAAAUUCGGUUUUGGUGGCGGACGGGUGAGUAACGCGUAAAGAACUUGCCUCACAGCUAGGGACAACAUUUGGAAACGAAUGCUAAUAACUGUUAUUAUGAUUCUAUGGCAUCGUUCAAUUUUGAAAGUUAUAUGCGCUGUGAGAGAGCUUUUCGUCCCAUUAGCUAGUUGGAGAGGUAACAGCUCACCAAGGCGAUGAUGGGUAGCCGGCCUGAGAGGGUGAUCGGCCACAAGGGGACUGAGACACGGCCCUUACUCCUACGGGAGGCAGCAGUGGGGAAUAUUGGACAAUGGACCGAGAGUCUGAUCCAGCAAUUCGGUGUGCACGAUGAAGUUUUUCGGAAUGUAAAGUGCUUUCAGUUGGGAAGAAAAAAAUGACGGUACCAACAGAAGAAAUGACGGCUAAAUACGU
This 453-nucleotide ribosomal RNA is filed under the name uncultured bacterium. Its description in RNAcentral is "partial 16S ribosomal RNA". It matches the Rfam family "Bacterial small subunit ribosomal RNA", at positions 28 to 506 of the family's 1533-position model. The record is from RNAcentral.